Molecule: ribosomal RNA, 2927 nt
Filed under: Escherichia coli
Lineage: Bacteria; Pseudomonadati; Pseudomonadota; Gammaproteobacteria; Enterobacterales; Enterobacteriaceae
Description: 23S ribosomal RNA
Rfam family: Bacterial large subunit ribosomal RNA
Source: RNAcentral
GGGUUGUGAGGUUAAGCGACUAAGCGUACACGGUGGAUGCCCUGGCAGUCAGAGGCGAUGAAGGACGUGCUAAUCUGCGAUAAGCGUCGGUAAGGUGAUAUGAACCGUUAUAACCGGCGAUUUCCGAAUGGGGAAACCCAGUGUGAUUCGUCACACUAUCAUUAACUGAAUCCAUAGGUUAAUGAGGCGAACCGGGGGAACUGAAACAUCUAAGUACCCCGAGGAAAAGAAAUCAACCGAGAUUCCCCCAGUAGCGGCGAGCGAACGGGGAGGAGCCCAGAGCCUGAAUCAGUGUGUGUGUUAGUGGAAGCGUCUGGAAAGGCGCGCGAUACAGGGUGACAGCCCCGUACACAAAAAUGCACAUGCUGUGAGCUCGAUGAGUAGGGCGGGACACGUGGUAUCCUGUCUGAAUAUGGGGGGACCAUCCUCCAAGGCUAAAUACUCCUGACUGACCGAUAGUGAACCAGUACCGUGAGGGAAAGGCGAAAAGAACCCCGGCGAGGGGAGUGAAAAAGAACCUGAAACCGUGUACGUACAAGCAGUGGGAGCACAGAGCAAUCUGUGUGACUGCGUACCUUUUGUAUAAUGGGUCAGCGACUUAUAUUCUGUAGCAAGGUUAACCGAAUAGGGGAGCCGAAGGGAAACCGAGUCUUAACUGGGCGUUAAGUUGCAGGGUAUAGACCCGAAACCCGGUGAUCUAGCCAUGGGCAGGUUGAAGGUUGGGUAACACUAACUGGAGGACCGAACCGACUAAUGUUGAAAAAUUAGCGGAUGACUUGUGGCUGGGGGUGAAAGGCCAAUCAAACCGGGAGAUAGCUGGUUCUCCCCGAAAGCUAUUUAGGUAGCGCCUCGUGAAUUCAUCUCCGGGGGUAGAGCACUGUUUCGGCAAGGGGGUCAUCCCGACUUACCAACCCGAUGCAAACUGCGAAUACCGGAGAAUGUUAUCACGGGAGACACACGGCGGGUGCUAACGUCCGUCGUGAAGAGGGAAACAACCCAGACCGCCAGCUAAGGUCCCAAAGUCAUGGUUAAGUGGGAAACGAUGUGGGAAGGCCCAGACAGCCAGGAUGUUGGCUUAGAAGCAGCCAUCAUUUAAAGAAAGCGUAAUAGCUCACUGGUCGAGUCGGCCUGCGCGGAAGAUGUAACGGGGCUAAACCAUGCACCGAAGCUGCGGCAGCGACGCUUAUGCGUUGUUGGGUAGGGGAGCGUUCUGUAAGCCUGUGAAGGUGUACUGUGAGGUACGCUGGAGGUAUCAGAAGUGCGAAUGCUGACAUAAGUAACGAUAAAGCGGGUGAAAAGCCCGCUCGCCGGAAGACCAAGGGUUCCUGUCCAACGUUAAUCGGGGCAGGGUGAGUCGACCCCUAAGGCGAGGCCGAAAGGCGUAGUCGAUGGGAAACAGGUUAAUAUUCCUGUACUUGGUGUUACUGCGAAGGGGGGACGGAGAAGGCUAUGUUGGCCGGGCGACGGUUGUCCCGGUUUAAGCGUGUAGGCUGGUUUUCCAGGCAAAUCCGGAAAAUCAAGGCUGAGGCGUGAUGACGAGGCACUACGGUGCUGAAGCAACAAAUGCCCUGCUUCCAGGAAAAGCCUCUAAGCAUCAGGUAACAUCAAAUCGUACCCCAAACCGACACAGGUGGUCAGGUAGAGAAUACCAAGGCGCUUGAGAGAACUCGGGUGAAGGAACUAGGCAAAAUGGUGCCGUAACUUCGGGAGAAGGCACGCUGAUAUGUAGGUGAAGUCCCUCGCGGAUGGAGCUGAAAUCAGUCGAAGAUACCAGCUGGCUGCAACUGUUUAUUAAAAACACAGCACUGUGCAAACACGAAAGUGGACGUAUACGGUGUGACGCCUGCCCGGUGCCGGAAGGUUAAUUGAUGGGGUUAGCGCAAGCGAAGCUCUUGAUCGAAGCCCCGGUAAACGGCGGCCGUAACUAUAACGGUCCUAAGGUAGCGAAAUUCCUUGUCGGGUAAGUUCCGACCUGCACGAAUGGCGUAAUGAUGGCCAGGCUGUCUCCACCCGAGACUCAGUGAAAUUGAACUCGCUGUGAAGAUGCAGUGUACCCGCGGCAAGACGGAAAGACCCCGUGAACCUUUACUAUAGCUUGACACUGAACAUUGAGCCUUGAUGUGUAGGAUAGGUGGGAGGCUUUGAAGUGUGGACGCCAGUCUGCAUGGAGCCGACCUUGAAAUACCACCCUUUAAUGUUUGAUGUUCUAACGUUGACCCGUAAUCCGGGUUGCGGACAGUGUCUGGUGGGUAGUUUGACUGGGGCGGUCUCCUCCUAAAGAGUAACGGAGGAGCACGAAGGUUGGCUAAUCCUGGUCGGACAUCAGGAGGUUAGUGCAAUGGCAUAAGCCAGCUUGACUGCGAGCGUGACGGCGCGAGCAGGUGCGAAAGCAGGUCAUAGUGAUCCGGUGGUUCUGAAUGGAAGGGCCAUCGCUCAACGGAUAAAAGGUACUCCGGGGAUAACAGGCUGAUACCGCCCAAGAGUUCAUAUCGACGGCGGUGUUUGGCACCUCGAUGUCGGCUCAUCACAUCCUGGGGCUGAAGUAGGUCCCAAGGGUAUGGCUGUUCGCCAUUUAAAGUGGUACGCGAGCUGGGUUUAGAACGUCGUGAGACAGUUCGGUCCCUAUCUGCCGUGGGCGCUGGAGAACUGAGGGGGGCUGCUCCUAGUACGAGAGGACCGGAGUGGACGCAUCACUGGUGUUCGGGUUGUCAUGCCAAUGGCACUGCCCGGUAGCUAAAUGCGGAAGAGAUAAGUGCUGAAAGCAUCUAAGCACGAAACUUGCCCCGAGAUGAGUUCUCCCUGACUCCUUGAGAGUCCUGAAGGAACGUUGAAGACGACGACGUUGAUAGGCCGGGUGUGUAAGCGCAGCGAUGCGUUGAGCUAACCGGUACUAAUGAACCGUGAGGCUUAACCUUACAACGCCGAAG